This 457-nucleotide ribosomal RNA is filed under the name uncultured Marmoricola sp. RNAcentral describes it as "bacterial SSU rRNA". It matches the Rfam family "Bacterial small subunit ribosomal RNA", at positions 46 to 520 of the family's 1533-position model. Lineage: Bacteria; Bacillati; Actinomycetota; Actinomycetes; Propionibacteriales; Nocardioidaceae. The record is from RNAcentral.
GGGGGAUAAACGGGAGUCGAGCGGUAGGCCCCUUCGGGGGUAACGAGCGGCGAACGGGUGAGUAACCCUUUGAGCAAUCUGCCCAUCACAUCGGGAUAACUCCGGGAAACCCAAGCUAAUACCGAAUACGACCACCUCAGGCAUCUGACGGUGGUGGAAAGUUCCGGCGGUGAUGGAUGAGCUCGCGGAAAACAGCUUGUUGGUGGGGUAAUGGCCUACCAAGGCUUCGACGGGUAGCCGGCCUGAGAGGGUGACCGGCCACACUGGGACUGAGACACGGCCCAGACUCCUACGGGAGGCAGCAGUGGGGAAUAUUGGACAAUGGGCGAAAGCCUGAUCCAGCAACGCCGCGUGAGGGAUGACGGCCUUCGGGUUGUAAACCUCUUUCAGCGCCGACGAAGCGAAAGUGACGGUAGGCGCAGAAGAAGCACCGGCCAACUACGUGCCAGAAGCGCGG